This 498-nucleotide ribosomal RNA is filed under the name uncultured archaeon. RNAcentral's name for it is "bacterial SSU rRNA". It matches the Rfam family "Archaeal small subunit ribosomal RNA", at positions 327 to 827 of the family's 1478-position model. The record is from RNAcentral.
GGGGUGCAGCAGGCGCGAAACCUUCACAAUGUGCGAAAGCACGAUGAGGGGAUCCCAAGUGCUUGCUCGUAAGAGUAAGCUGUUUUUAUGUCUAAAAAGCAUAGAGAGUAAGGGCUGGGUAAGACGGGUGCCAGCCGCCGCGGUAAUACCUGCAGCUCAAGUGGUGACCACUAUUAUUGGGCCUAAAACGUUCGUAGCCGGUUUGGUAAAUGCCUGGGUAAAUCGUGUAGCUUAACUAUACGAAUUCCGGGUAGACUGCCAAACUUGAGACCGGGAGAAGCUAGAGGUACUCCUGGGGUAGAGGUGAAAUUCUGUAAUCCUGGGGGGACCACCAGUGGCGAAGGCGUCUAGCUAGAACGGGUCUGACGGUGAGGAACGAAGCCCUGGGGCGCAAACCGGAUUAGAUACCCGGGUAGUCCAGGGUGUAAACGCUGCUUGCUUGAUGUUAGUUGGGCUCCGAGCCCAAUUAGUGUCGGAGAGAAGUUGUAAGCAAGCUGC